GACGAACGCUGGCGGCGUGCUUAACACAUGCAAGUCGAACGGAAAGGCCCUGCUUUUGUGGGGUGCUCGAGUGGCGAACGGGUGAGUAACACGUGAGUAAACUGCCCUUGACUUUGGGAUAACUUCAGGAAACUGGGGCUAAUAUCGGAUAGGAGCUCCUGCUGCAUGGUGGGGGUUGGAAAGUUUCGGCGGUUGGGGAUGGACUCGCGGCUUAUCAGCUUGUUGGUGGGGUAGUGGCUUACCAAGGCUUUGACGGGUAGCCGGCCUGAGAGGGUGACCGGCCACAAUAGGACUGAGAUACGGCCCAGACUCCUACGGGACGCAGCAGUGGAGAAUUUUGCACAAUAGGCGGAAGCCUGAUGCAGCAACGCCGCAUUCGUGAUGACGUCCUUCGAGUUAUAAACCACUUUCGCCUGUGACAAAGCGUGAGUGACGGUAAUGAGUAAAGAAGCACCGGCUAACUACGUG
Molecule: ribosomal RNA, 468 nt
Filed under: uncultured bacterium
Lineage: Bacteria
Description: partial 16S ribosomal RNA
Rfam family: Bacterial small subunit ribosomal RNA
Source: RNAcentral